Mustela erminea (ermine) is the source of this 1104-nucleotide long non-coding RNA. RefSeq lists it as uncharacterized. The transcript is spliced from 4 exons. The record is from RefSeq and is a predicted model, not a curated record. Lineage: Eukaryota; Metazoa; Chordata; Mammalia; Carnivora; Mustelidae.
AAAGAGCGCGCAUGCGCCUGCGCCCGGCGCGCUCCGCCCCGCCUGGAGUCGGCGGCGGCUCCACGGAAUGGCGGAGAUGGUUUUUUUUAAAUUUUUCUCAGCAUCGAGGGAGAUCCUUCCGCAGAAACAAGCCUCUCCGGUUACUCCAGGAUUGCACUUGAGAGAUGGUCCUUUGGGAAGCAGCGGUGUGGGGAAUCCCCUGAUGAGGACCCAAAUCGUCCCUUUAGCCCCCACACAGACAUUUUUGGUAGCUUCUAAGAAUCUCAGGAGACAGAAAGGUAUGCGCCCCAACUGUAGAGUAAACCUGAGGAGCCACAGCCCAGAGACUGCAAACUGUGUCAGACCAACCGAGAAGCAACUGGACAGCUGCUGACCUCAAGGAUUUGGAGGUCAGUUGACGGCCCAUGGAGCCUAGCAUCUCAAAGGAGCAGAUUGUCAUUUUAUACCUGAGCAGCUGGCCUGGAAAAAUAAAUCACCCACACAUUUAAAAGUCUCUAUGAUAAUCACAAAAUAGGUCCAAUAAAUGUUAUUUACACUUAGCAAGCAGAGGAAGAAACCAAAGCGCACAACACGAUCAAAUGAUUGGCCUAAAGGUAGAGCAAAUUCAAGAGCAGACCUUUUCAUAGAACUUGGUAUCCCCGCUCGUGAUCCUCCGAUCCAUCUAAGAAGCCUCAAGCCUCGCUGCCUCUGUCUUCUCAGAGAGCCUCCUGAAUUACGAAUGAGGAGGAAGGGAAACAGCAAGAGUAAAUAUACUAAGCAGAAGUUCAGAUUGCCCUCGGGGACUACCCCUUCCUUCAUCUACUAGAAUGUCACUGCUGUAUAUUAAAACCUCAAUUAAAAACCUCAGUUGUCCAUAAUGGAGAGGGGAAGAGGCCCCGAUCACACGAGAAGCCCCAAACCAGCCAAUAUCCUUUCUAAUGUGGCUUUCAUAUCCAGUCCGUGAUAUUCCAAAGAUACACAAAUGACACCCUCUACUGUACUGAUCUCUGCUCACUGCCCUCCUGGGUCAUAGCUCUGUGCAUGAGCCCCAAAUCUUGCCUGGGUACACUUCCCUCUGUAGAACUCCAAGCAAGGGUCCCUUUUGUUGUCAUUUGUUCUUAGCAG